GACGAACGCUGGCGGCGUGCCUAAUACAUGCAAGUCGAGCGAACAGGCGAGGAGCUUGCUCCUCUGACGUUAGCGGCGGACGGGUGAGUAACACGUGGAUAACCUACCUAUAAGACUGGGAUAACUUCGGGAAACCGGAUCUAAUACCGGAUAAUAUAUUGAACCGCAUGGUUCAAUAGUGAAAGACGCUUUUUGUUUCACUUAUAGAUGAAUCCGCACCGCAUUAGCUAGUUGGUAAGGUAACGGCUUACCAAGGCAACGAUGCGUAGCCGACCUGAGAGGGUGGACGGCCACACUGGAACUGAGACACGGUCCAGACUCCUACGGGAGGCAGCAGUAGGGAAUCUUCCGCGAUGGGCGAGAGCGUGACGGAGCAACGCCGCGUAAGUGAUGAAGGUCUUCGGAUCGUAAAACUCUGUUAUUAGGGAAGAAGAAAUGUGUAAGUAACUAUGAACGUCUUGACGGUACCUAGUCAGAAAGCCACGGCUAACUACGUG
RNAcentral lists this ribosomal RNA (497 nucleotides) under uncultured bacterium. RNAcentral describes it as "partial 16S ribosomal RNA". It matches the Rfam family "Bacterial small subunit ribosomal RNA", at positions 28 to 507 of the family's 1533-position model. The record is from RNAcentral.